GUGUAGCUCAGUGGUAGAGCCUAUGCCUAGCAUGCACAAGGCCCUCAGUUCAGUCCCCAGCUACA
Molecule: transfer RNA, 65 nt
Filed under: Marmota monax (woodchuck)
Lineage: Eukaryota; Metazoa; Chordata; Mammalia; Rodentia; Sciuridae
Description: tRNA.Ala
Source: RNAcentral